This 465-nucleotide ribosomal RNA is filed under the name uncultured Klebsiella sp. RNAcentral describes it as "bacterial SSU rRNA". It matches the Rfam family "Bacterial small subunit ribosomal RNA", at positions 338 to 795 of the family's 1533-position model. The record is from RNAcentral. Lineage: Bacteria; Pseudomonadati; Pseudomonadota; Gammaproteobacteria; Enterobacterales; Enterobacteriaceae.
CCUACGGGUGGCUGCAGUGGGGAAUAUUGCACAAUGGGCGCAAGCCUGAUGCAGCCAUGCCGCGUGUGUGAAGAAGGCCUUCGGGUUGUAAAGCACUUUCAGCGGGGAGGAAGGCGUUAAGGUUAAUAACCUUGGCGAUUGACGUUACCCGCAGACGAAGCACCGGCUAACUCCGUGCCAGCAGCCGCGGUAAUACGGAGGGUGCAAGCGUUAAUCGGAAUUACUGGGCGUAAAGCGCACGCAGGCGGUCUGUCAAGUCGGAUGUGAAAUCCCCGGGCUCAACCUGGGAACUGCAUUCGAAACUGGCAGGCUAGAGUCUUGUAGAGGGGGGUAGAAUUCCAGGUGUAGCGGUGAAAUGCGUAGAGAUCUGGAGGAAUACCGGUGGCGAAGGCGGCCCCCUGGACAAAGACUGACGCUCAGGUGCGAAAGCGUGGGGAGCAAACAGGAUUAGAUACCCGAGUAGUC